This 485-nucleotide ribosomal RNA is filed under the name uncultured bacterium. RNAcentral describes it as "bacterial SSU rRNA". It matches the Rfam family "Bacterial small subunit ribosomal RNA", at positions 1 to 501 of the family's 1533-position model. The record is from RNAcentral.
CCCUUAGAGUUUGAUCCUGGCUCAGGACGAACGCUGGCGGCGCGCCUAACACAUGCAAGUCGAACGAGAGAGAGGAAGCUUGCUUCCUCAAUCGAGUGGCGAACGGGUGAGUAACGCGUGAGGAACCUGCCUCAAAGAGGGGGACAACAGUUGGAAACGACUGCUAAUACCGCAUAAGCCCACGGGUCGGCAUCGACCAGAGGGAAAAGGAGCAAUCCGCUUUGAGAUGGCCUCGCGUCCGAUUAGCUGGUUGGUGAGGUAAUGGCCCACCAAGGCGACGAUCGGUAGCCGGACUGAGAGGUUGAACGGCCACAUUGGGACUGAGACACGGCCCAGACUCCUACGGGAGGCAGCAGUGAGGAAUAUUGCACAAUGGGGGAAACCCUGAUGCAGCGACGCCGCGUGGAGGAAGAAGGUCUUCGGAUUGUAAACUCCUGUUGUUGAGGAAGAUAAAGACGGUACUCAACAAGGAAGUGACGGCUAUU